Molecule: ribosomal RNA, 434 nt
Filed under: uncultured bacterium
Lineage: Bacteria
Description: partial 16S ribosomal RNA
Rfam family: Bacterial small subunit ribosomal RNA
Source: RNAcentral
AGCGAACGCUGGCGGCAGGCCUAACACUUGCAAGUCGAACGAACCUUUCGGGGUUAGUGGCGGACGGGUGCGUAACACGUGGGAACGUGCCUUUAGGUUCGGAAUAACUCAGGGAAACUUGUGCUAAUACCGAAUGUGCCCUCCGGGGGAAAGAUUUAUCGCCUUUAGAGCGGCCCGCGUCUGAUUAGCUAGUUGGUUGAGGUAAUGGCUCACCAAGGCGACGAUCAGUAGCUGGUCUGAGAGGAUGAUCAGCCACAUUGGGACUGAGACACGGCCCAAACUCCUACGGGAGGCAGCAGUGGGGAAUCUUGCGCAAUGGGCGAAAGCCUGACGCAGCCAGGCCGCGUGAAUGAUGAAGGUCGUAGGAUUGUAAAAUUCUUUCACCGGGGACGAUAAUGACGGUACCCGGAGAAGAAGCCCCGGCUAACUUCGUG